CUUAAUUUCAAUGUAACAUUAUUGUUUAAAGUUUGGGCUGCAGAAACAAAGUUAAGAAAAUAACUGUUACCAACAAAUGUGCCAAGGACCUGAAUUCGACUGUGUGGCGGAUCCUACCCUUGCAUUCUGUCAAACCGUCUUGCCAUCGCCACAACCUGGACUAAGGGCAGGGGAGGUGGCCUGUUUCAGGGACUUGUUUCUGAAGACCAUUUCUUCACAGAGCCAUUCAGGAGAACCCUGCAACCCGGGAUGCUGAGUAGCUAAAACGGGCAUCCGAUUGUGAAGGCGGGAGGCGGCGUCGCACAAGGGAGAGGAAUCCACUGCAUUGAGGUUCAACAUCAAGUCUCAGACCACCUGUCUCAAAUCCAGCCUCUACCCACAAGCCACAAGACUGCUCCAACAGCUGAACCCUGGGCUGACUACUGCACUCUACCACACACUUACCAUUUACUCAUAUUAUGUACACAUUGAAGUCAGUUUAUUCUACUGGAACCAUGCAAUAGUUAUGUCACCUUACUGCACUACUAAUGUAUUGUAUAUACGUUCAUAUAAUUCUAUGAUGCAACUGCACUGUAAUUAUCCCACUCACUAUGCACAUGGGCAAACAAAGCUUCUAUAUCCCUAUAGGAUAUCGCUUUUAAUCUUAUUUUUGUUUACAUCUUAUUUCCUUUUAGCUGCGUGCCUCUUGUACUUGAUUUAGUUUAUUUAGUUGUUUUUAUAAGUAUGUUAUAUUUAUGUCACUUAUUUGAUUGCUUUCCUAUGUUACUUAUUUGAUUACUAUGUCGCUUUUGAGAAGCCUGCAAGUCCAUGACAAUAACAUUUGAUUUGACUGGAUUUGAUUUGUCGUAACCUGUGGAUCCAGGUGACCAGGACUGGCCCUUGUUAUCUGAUAUAUUUUGCACACACAAUCAUUUACAAUACUUUUCCACAAACUUUUAUCAAAUAGACAUGGCAUCCAAUUGACCUUAAAUAAAAAACUAUAAAUACAAAAUAAGUGGGUACAUAAAAAAGCAUCUUGCCUCUGACUGGCAGCCGUAGUGUCGCCGGGCAGGAGAAGAGCAGUUGGGCUGUGUAAGGAAACGGCAGUCACGGCAGACAAAGCGGCAUAUCGCAGGCGCCCCGUGAAUGAGGAGAUUGGCAAAAAAAAUCUGUCGCACAUCGCGGGACCACUCUUGAGGGAUGCCAGGCUCCUGCUCAUUGCUAACUGGGUUAAAUACAUUGGGGCUACAAUUACUAUAUAGGAGUCACUUUAACAUUUUACUGCACCGGGCCAAAUCAGAGUUACACAGAGUGAUUCUUGGUAGUCUUAAAUCUAUUUUGAAACAAAAGUAUACACCUGGGCUUAAAAAAAAGAAGACACCUGUACCAUGAGUUGAAAUGUAUUCAAUUUUGAGUUUGCAUGCCAAUAUUACACUUUAUAUACAUCACAGAGGACUGAAAUAACCAAACUGUUUGUAAU
Oncorhynchus tshawytscha (Chinook salmon) is the source of this 1459-nucleotide long non-coding RNA. The record is from Ensembl. Lineage: Eukaryota; Metazoa; Chordata; Actinopteri; Salmoniformes; Salmonidae.